CCCUAGUAUAAAAAUGUAGUUAUUAGUAAAAAUGUGAAAUUAAAAAUUUUUGGCGGUUGAUUUAUUUUUAGAGGAGCUUGUUUUGGAUAUUACUCUUUAUAUUUAAUUUAUGAGGGUUUAUUUAUCUCCGUUAUUAGAAAUGUUUGUAAAAUUUUAUGGUUUUAUUUCAGGUCAAGAUGUAGCAAUUUAUAAAUUAUAAUUAGCUACAUUUAUGUAAUAAUGAAUUUUUGAAAAGUAAUUGAUUAUGAAAUUGAAUUUAGUUGUAAUAUUAAUUUUAUUAAAAAUAUGUGAAGGGAGUAAAGUUAAUGUA
RNAcentral lists this ribosomal RNA (310 nucleotides) under Protimesius mendopticus. Its description in RNAcentral is "partial small subunit ribosomal RNA". Lineage: Eukaryota; Metazoa; Arthropoda; Arachnida; Opiliones; Stygnidae. The record is from RNAcentral.